GACGAACGCUGGCGGCGUGCUUAACACAUGCCAGUCGAACGGAAAGGCCUUUUCGGUGGUGCUCGAGUGGCGGACGGGUGAGUGACACGCGGGUGAUCUGCCCUGCACUCUGGGAUAGGCCUGGGCAACUGGGUCUAAUACCGGCUAGGAACGAGCUUUUGUGUGUGUGGGGGAAAGUUUUUGCGGUGUAGGUUGAGCCCGCGGUCUAUCAGCUUGUUGGUGGGGUAAUGGCCUACCAAGGCGGCGACGGGUAGCCGGACUGAGAGGUUGGUCGGCCACAUUGGGGCUGAGAUACGGCCCAGACUCCUACGGGAGGCAGCAGUGGGGAAUAUUGCACAAUGGGCGGAAGCCUGAUGCAGCGACGCCGCGUGGGGGAUGACGGCCUUCGGGUUGUAAACUGCUUUCGCCAGGGACGAAGCGUUUUGUGACGGAACCUGGAGAAGAAGCACCGGCUAACUACGG
RNAcentral lists this ribosomal RNA (462 nucleotides) under uncultured bacterium. RNAcentral's name for it is "partial 16S ribosomal RNA". It matches the Rfam family "Bacterial small subunit ribosomal RNA", at positions 28 to 506 of the family's 1533-position model. The record is from RNAcentral.